RNAcentral lists this ribosomal RNA (404 nucleotides) under Fusobacteriota bacterium. Its description in RNAcentral is "Fusobacteria bacterium partial 16S ribosomal RNA". It matches the Rfam family "Bacterial small subunit ribosomal RNA", at positions 355 to 776 of the family's 1533-position model. Lineage: Bacteria; Fusobacteriati; Fusobacteriota. The record is from RNAcentral.
UGGGGAAUAUUGCACAAUGGAGGGAACUCUGAUGCAGCGACGCCGCGUGAGUGAUGAAGGAAUUCGUUUCGUAAAACUCUGUUCUAUGGGUAGAAAAGGACUGUACCAUAGGAGAAAGCUCCGGCUAAAUACGUGCCAGCAGCCGCGGUAAUACGUAUGGAGCGAGCGUUGUCCGGAAUUAUUGGGCGUAAAGGGUGCGCAGGCGGCUUUACAAGUUGGAUGUGAAAUAUUGUGGCUCAACCACAAACGUGCAUCCAAAACUGCAAAGCUUGAGUUAAGGAGAGGUAAGUGGAAUUCCUGGUGUAGCGGUGGAAUGCGUAGAUAUCAGGAGGAAUACCGGUGGCGAAGGCGACUUACUGGACUUAAACUGACGCUCAGGCACGAAAGCGUGGGGAGCAAACAGG